UACUGAAAUAACAUUUAUAUUUAAAUUUUGUUUCAUUUUACUGGGAUCCAAACAGUCAAGUUGUAAAAUUCCCUCAAAUGGAUACCUAGCAUUUUCAUGAAUUCUAGUUUUGUUUCGAUUAAAAGAAUUUUCCGGCUGGGCGACUCAAAUGGAAUGAUGUAGCUAGCAGGGUUAGUUGGGCACGCAAGUCAGUUGAUGGACUCUCUCUUUGGGGCAUCGCAUACCAUUCCAUUACGAUUCCUGACUGGCUGUGGCAAGUGACUGGCAGCUGCGUGAGCUGAAGUGAAUGGAAUGGAUUGGGACAGGACAUGAACAUCAACAAGAGGAGCAACGAGCAGGAAAAGGACUUCACUCAAUUUGACAAACAUGACACAGAAACCCUCGGAGCUGACUUGCAUUUUGCCCUCCUCCCCCUCCACUUCCGCUAUCCGCAUCCUUAAUGGACAAAGAUACCCCCAGCUAGACGACGCAACUCGUCUUCGUCCAUGUCUCGUCUUCCUUAUACACUUGUUCAAACUUACUCCUCGUCUGCGUUCUGCGUUGCCAAUUAAAUUUUUAAAAUGCCAUUUCGCAACCUAUUUCCAGCGCCUGUGCAAAUGAAAAAUGCCAACUGCGUGCGUGUAAGGACUGCAGGACGAGACAGGACACGACAACAGCAAUAUUUUCACAAAAUAAACCUUAAUUGAAUUUGUUGACAAGAGUUUGUCUUCCAGACAA
Molecule: long non-coding RNA, 717 nt
Organism: Drosophila sulfurigaster albostrigata
Lineage: Eukaryota; Metazoa; Arthropoda; Insecta; Diptera; Drosophilidae
Exons: 2
Source: RefSeq, a predicted model, not a curated record